AAACAGUAGGACUGGUCAUCCUUCCUGUCUGGCAUGAGGUUUGUACUGGGCUGGGCUUAGGGCAGAGAGUGUCCAGGGAGAUGAAAUAUUCUAUAUUCUGCAGAAAUCUGCAUCUCCUGCAUAGUAGUGACUAUAGCUUGUUUUAUGAUUGAGGAUACCCUGUCUCACAAGACUGCUUAAAUCCCUCAUUCCCCACAGCCUGGUUCUAUUGCAUCUUCCAGAUGCAGCACAGCACCAUGAAAUUCAGCCACUGCAUUUUACUUUGACCGCUCCAAAGCUCCUGUUUGAUUAUGUGCAAUGGCUUUAACUUAUCCUUGCUGUUCUCGCCCUCUCUCUUGAUGUAGUCAUGCUUGCGUCUGUUCAGAAGUGACUGUGUUCUGAAAAUGUUAUGCCUUUGGUAGCAGCUGUGUGUCAGGAGAGACAAUAAGCCGUCCAAAGGGCAGAACAGUGACUUAGCUACUGCCUGCUACAGCUUUCUCAUCCCACAUUUCUUUCUCUUUUCUCAGGCCUGCCGUGACAGAUGUCCCUUGUCUUCUCUCAAGGAGUAGGAUUAAGGCAGCCACUUUGCACUACGAGACCAGUUAUGCUGAAUGGUUUGUUCCAGGCUGCCUUCACUUGCGUCUUUGCAGGGAUAACUGGGAACAUGAAGCCUCCUUUGGUACAGGAACUUGUGGUCCCACACACCAAUUCACUUCCCAGGGCAGGAAACCUCUCUGCAGGCAGCCUAGGACUUCCAGUACUCAUUUCCAGUUAUAAGUAUAUGCAAAUGCCAGUGCAGAGCAGUGUCAUCUCAUGUGAACAUUGGUGUAUUCGAGGACUUGGAAAAGUGGAAACAGUUUGCUUGGAACUGAUACACUUUCUUUCAUUCUAUUUUUUUUAUUUUUUUAUUUUUCAUUUUUUAACUGACUUUACUGAUUUAAAUGAACUGAUUUUAAACUAAAUCAAAAUAGUCUGUCCUAGACUGAGAUGAAAAUAUUCCUCAAGACUGGUCAGUAAGUUGAUAUUAAAAGAAAAGAAAGCUUUCUAUCAGUCAAAGUGUUUCUCAGUUGAGGAAAAAAAAAAAUCACA
RNAcentral lists this long non-coding RNA (1068 nucleotides) under Coturnix japonica (Japanese quail). Its description in RNAcentral is "lncRNA (ENSCJPG00005001917.1)". Lineage: Eukaryota; Metazoa; Chordata; Aves; Galliformes; Phasianidae. The record is from RNAcentral.